RNAcentral lists this ribosomal RNA (253 nucleotides) under uncultured bacterium. RNAcentral describes it as "partial 16S ribosomal RNA". It matches the Rfam family "Bacterial small subunit ribosomal RNA", at positions 524 to 776 of the family's 1533-position model. The record is from RNAcentral.
UACGUAGGUGGCGAGCGUUGUCCGGAAUCACUGGGCGUAAAGGGUGCGUAGGCGGGUCUUUAAGUCAGGGGUGAAAUCCUGGAGCUCAACUCCAGAACUGCCUUUGAUACUGAGGAUCUUGAGUUCGGGAGAGGUGAGUGGAACUGCGAGUGUAGAGGUGAAAUUCGUAGAUAUUCGCAAGAACACCAGUGGCGAAGGCGGCUCACUGGCCCGAUACUGACGCUGAGGCACGAAAGCGUGGGGAGCAAACAGG